GACGAACGCUGGCGGCGUGCUUAACACGUGCAAGUCGGACGGAAAGGCCCUGCUUUUGUGGGGUGCUCGAGUGGCGAACGGGUGAGUAACACGUGAGUAACCUGCCCUUGACUUUGGGAUAACUUCAAGAAACUGGGGCUAAUACCGGAUAGGAGCUCCUGCUGCAUGGUGGGGGUUGGAAAGUUUCGGCGGUUGGGGAUGGACUCGCGGCUUAUCAGCUUGUUGGUGGGGUAGUGGCUUACCAAGGCUUUGACGGGUAGCCGGCCUGAGAGGGUGACCGGCCACAUUGGGACUGAGAUACGGCCCAGACUCCUACGGGAGGCAGCAGUGGGGAAUAUUGCACAAUGGGCGGAAGCCUGAUGCAGCAACGCCGCGUGCGGGAUGACGGCCUUCGGGUUGUAAACCGCUUUCGCCUGUGACGAAGCGUGAGUGACGGUAAUGGGUAAAGAAGCACCGGCUAACUACGUG
RNAcentral lists this ribosomal RNA (468 nucleotides) under uncultured bacterium. Its description in RNAcentral is "partial 16S ribosomal RNA". It matches the Rfam family "Bacterial small subunit ribosomal RNA", at positions 28 to 507 of the family's 1533-position model. The record is from RNAcentral.